CCUACGGGAGGCAGCAGUAGGGAAUAUUGGGCAAUGGAGGCAACUCUGACCCAGCCAUGCCGCGUGCAGGAAGACGGUCCUCUGGAUUGUAAACUGCUUUUGAAUGGGAAGAAUGUGCUCCUUGCGAGGGGUAAUGACGGUACCAUUAGAAUAAGCCACGGCUAACUACGUGCCAGCAGCCGCGGUAAUACGUAGGUGGCGAGCGUUAUCCGGAUUUAUUGGGUUUAAAGGGUGCGUAGGCGGCUUAAUAAGUCGGUGGUUAAAAGUAGCAGCUUAACUGUUUUACAUGCCAUCGAUACUGUUGAGCUUGAGAUAUUUGGAGGCAGCUAGAAUUUCCGGUGUAGCGGUGAAAUGCAUAGAUACCGGAAGGAAUACCAAUUGCGAAGGCAGGUUGCUACGAAUAAACUGACGCUGAUGCACGAAAGCGUGGGGAUCAAACAGGAUUAGAUACCCUGGUAGUCCACGCCGUAAACGAUGAUUACUAGUUGUUGGGGUUUAAGCCUCAGUGACCAAGGGAAACCGAUAAGUAAUCCACCUGGGGAGUACGCCGGCAACGGUGAAACUCAAANAGAGUAGAGNGNGAGAGNGCGACGACGACGACGAGGAGAGG
Molecule: ribosomal RNA, 610 nt
Filed under: uncultured bacterium
Lineage: Bacteria
Description: bacterial SSU rRNA
Rfam family: Bacterial small subunit ribosomal RNA
Source: RNAcentral